UAAAACACUCCGAUUUCUCCAAAGCCACUCCUUCCGAAAAGCCCAGAGUGCUCUGAUUGUCCAGCUGACCUGUUGCAUUGUGAUUGGCCAAAAACCUCAAGCAUGUGUCGGAAAUGUAACACCCCUUGGGUUAGCUCCAGUCUCCAAAGCUUCUAAAGCAAUCCUAAGCUCCUAAGCAACAUGUUUAAUUUUAUCAUAUCAGUUUGAGCCGUCCGAUUCAGAAAAUGUGGGUGAUCACGCGGAACCAACUUUGCAAACAUGACUUGUGCAGAGCAUUUCAGUGGCUUGGGCUCAGCACUGAGAGUGCAUUGGCUCAUGCAACCCUCCAGUGGCUGACCGGAAAUUAAACCUGGGCCAGCCACUAGUCUACCAGGGAACCUGUGCACAUACAAUUUAAAAGAAUAAAAGGUGAUAUUUAUAAAACACAGACAGACAAUCCAAAACAUGAUGCAAAGUCGAGAUCAGAAACAGAGCAGAGAUUCAGGUGAACAGCAAACCACGUACAACAGGCAAAAUCCA
Molecule: long non-coding RNA, 519 nt
Organism: Ictalurus punctatus (channel catfish)
Lineage: Eukaryota; Metazoa; Chordata; Actinopteri; Siluriformes; Ictaluridae
Source: Ensembl